GACGAACGCUGGCGGCGUGCUUAACACAUGCAAGUCGAACGGAAAGGCCCUGCUUUUGUGGGGUGCUCGAGUGGCGAACGGGUGAGUAACACGUGAGUAACCUGCCCUUGACUUUGGGAUAACUUCAGGAAACUGGGGCUAAUACCGGAUAGGAGCUCAUGCUGCAUGGUGGGGGUUGGAAAGUUUCGGCGGUUGGGGAUGGACUCGCGGCUUAUCAGCUUGUUGGUGGGGUAGUGGCUUACCAAGGCUUUGACGGGUAGCCGGCCUGAGAGGGUGACCGGCCACAUUGGGACUGAGAUACGGCCCAGACUCCUACGGGAGGCAGCAGUGGGGAAUAUUGCACAAUGGGCGGAAGCCUGAUGCAGCAACGCCGCGUGCGGGAUGACGGCCUUCGGGUUGUAAACCGCUUUCGCCUGUGACGAAGCGUGAGUGACGGUAAUGGGUAAAGAAGCGCCGGCUAACUACGUG
Molecule: ribosomal RNA, 468 nt
Filed under: uncultured bacterium
Lineage: Bacteria
Description: partial 16S ribosomal RNA
Rfam family: Bacterial small subunit ribosomal RNA
Source: RNAcentral